UGUUACAUCUUCAGUUUUAAUUUCAAAGUUGGAUUAUGCGAUUUAUUUCGGGGAAAAUGUCAAAAAAAGCGCGAACUUUCAAAUUUGGGACGAAAAAAGCAUGAACUUUCGAAAUGUCAUUUAAUUCACAAAGUUUCGUUUGACUUUUUUAAAA
RNAcentral lists this small RNA (154 nucleotides) under Arabidopsis thaliana (thale cress). Its description in RNAcentral is "ATSL144990". Lineage: Eukaryota; Viridiplantae; Streptophyta; Magnoliopsida; Brassicales; Brassicaceae. The record is from RNAcentral.